GUCUACAGCCAUGCCACCCUGAACAAGCCCGAUGUCUGUUCUCGGAAACUAAGCAGGGUUGGGCCUGGUUAGUACUUGGAUGGAAGACCACCUAGGAAGAACAGGUACUUUUUACU
Molecule: ribosomal RNA, 116 nt
Filed under: Pteropus alecto (black flying fox)
Lineage: Eukaryota; Metazoa; Chordata; Mammalia; Chiroptera; Pteropodidae
Source: RNAcentral